UAUUUUUAAUUGCAAAGGCUGCAUUUAAAGUCACAUUAAAUUUAAUAACUUUAAUUGUAUUACAUAUGUUUAUUUUUAAUUUUAAAGGCUGCAUUAUAAGCCCAAUAGAAUAUUGUAAGUGCCUACACGGGUAGCUAAUAUUUGUUACAUUGUAGAGGUUGCAUUUUAAAACCUCAUUUAAUUGUUCCACUGCCUGUGACCCUCAUUCCUGUUUUCCUUUUUUAAUUGUUUUUCCCCUUUUUCUUUUUUUUUUUUUUUUUGACUCCAUCAUGUCGCAGGAGGAUUUGUUGAGGCAAGUCAGGGAGCUGCAGGAAGAAUUGGCCAAACUUCAAACACCAGCAGCUUCCAGUGAUGUUAAAGCAAGUGUGUUUGGCAUCACCAUGAAAUUGCCACCAUUUUGGCAUGACAAGCCAGCAAUAUGGUUUGCCCAGGCCGAAGCUCAAUUUGAAAUAGCGGGCAUAUCACAAGAUUCCACCAAGUAUGGCCACAUUCUUUCUAAAUUAGACACUCGGGUUGCAACAGAGCUUGAGGACGUUAUCGAAAAUCCCCCAACUAAAGAUAAAUAUAACAAUUUGAAAUCCGAAGUAAUAAAGCGAUUUGGCAUUUCCAGAGAUCAGCGUGUUCGGCAACUGCUCAGUGAUGAGCCACUGGGGGACCGCAAACCAUCCUCAUUCUUGCGCCACCUGCAAACUCUCGCUGGUGCCAAGAGUGAUGAAAACAUAAUUAGGGAGCUGUGGAUGCGGAGGCUGCCAUCGGACAUCCAGCACAUCUUAAUGGCACAAAUAGAUUUGCCAUUGCAGAAGGUGGCAGACAUAGCUGAUGCUAUUAUGGAUACACCUGUCAGUAAGUCUAAUAAUUCUGUUAAUAUGGUCACACCUAGUGCUCCUGUGGCUGCUCAAUCUGCAGAGAUAGAGUCUAUCAUGCACAGCAUCAAAGCCUUAACUAAGAAGGUAGAUGCACUUACUCGAGACAACUCGAGGAGCACAAGGGCACCAUCAAGGCCUCGCUUAAAGUCGUUCUCCCGCACCAACAACAAUAUGUGCUGGUACCACCAAAGGUUUGGUGUAAAAGCAACCAAAUGUAUUUCGCCAUGCAGCAGCGCACCGGAGCCGGGAAACGCCAGCAGCAGUCAGUAAUGGCGGCUUCUGACUGCAAUCCAUCUGGCCGCCUUUGUGUGACUGACAUCACAUCUAAGCGUCAAUUCCUUAUAGACACAGGUUCCGACCUGUGCUGCUAUCCCCGCCAUUUGUUGAAAGGUAGUCUUAAGCCCACUAAAUAUGAGGCACAGGCUGCAAAUGGCAGCUCCAUUAAAACCUAUGGUAAUAUCAACCUUUGCUUAAAUUUUGGACUCCGACAAAAAUUUAAUUGGGAUUUUGUCAUUGCAGAUGUCAGCUGUCCUAUAAUUGGUUCUGAUUUUCUGGCCCAUUAUCAUCUCUUGCCAGACUGUCGCCAGCAGAGAUUAGUAGACGGGAUCUCCAAGCUGUCUUCACCAGCUACCGUAGCAUCAGCUGCUCAACCCGCAGUCAAGUCUGUUAUUGCCGGAGACUCUGCCUUUAAGAAAAUACUUCUGGAAUUCCCUGACUUAACACGCCCUCCUGGGCAGCUGAUUUACAAGCACCUCUACUGGAAGUUUUGGCAUCUAGCAAGUUAAAAGGAGCCAAGCCAGUACCAUGGACAAGUGACCUUGAACUGGCAUUCCAAAAGUGUAAAGACCAUUUAUCUAAUGCUACUCUUUUGGCACAUCCCGUUUCUAACUCUAAGCUUGGUUUGUUCACAGAUGCCUCAUCUACUCAUGUUGGCGCUUGUCUACAACAGUUUGUAGAUAAUGCCUGGCAGCCCAUUGCUUUCUUUAGCAAAAAGCUCACCAGCCGCCAGGCUACCUGGCCAGCGUACUACCGCGAGUUACUGGGAGUAUAUGAAGCUGUUCAGCACUUCAGACAUAUUUUGGAGGCCCAACAUGUCACCAUACAUACUGACCACAAGCCCCUUAUUUAUGCAUUCUCGCAACGACGCGAGAAGCUGCCUCCUGUUCAAUUAAAUCAAUUAUCUUUUAUUUCGCAGUUUACCACCGACUUCGUGCAUGUGCAGGGCACGGACAACGUUGUCGCCGAUGCCUUGUCACGAGUAGACGCCGUCCACGUCGGUUUUGACUACUCCGCUCUCGCCAAAGACCAGGCAACCGACGAGGAGUUAAAGCACAUGCAAAGUGACUCGUCCCUGGAACUAAAGAAGGUAACCAUACCUGGUUCUGAUACGCAAAUCUUUUGCGAUUUAUCAACUGGGAAACCCCGGCCGUAUCUCACACCAUCUUUUCGGCGACUGCAUUUUGACAAGCUGCACAACCUCAGCCAUCCAGGCGCACGGACCUCGGCGCGUAUGGUCGCCGACAGGUUCGUUUGGCCGGGUAUGAGGCGAGACUGCAGAAUGUGGGCCAGACUGUGUCCGGUCUGCCAACGCUGCAAAAUCUCUAGACAUACUGCCACGCCUUUAGGAAUCUUUACCACACCUACUAGACGUUUUCGCCACGUGCACAUAGACAUUAUUGGGCCUCUGCCAUCCAGUAGAGGUUACCAGUAUUGUCUCACAGCUGUGGAUAGAUUCACCCGGUGGCCAGAAGCAUGGCCCAUGGCCACCGCGACCGCGGAGGAAUGCGCGGAAGUUUUCUUUAGAGAGUGGAUGGCUCGUUAUGGUACCCCAUCUAUUGUGACUACAGAUCAGGACCGUCAAUUUGAAUCUUCCCUUUUUCAGACCCUGAUGCAGCUUUGCGGCGCCAAACGCGUGCGCACGACAAGCUACCAUCCGUGCGCAAACGGGUUGGUAGAGCGAAUGCACCGGCAGUUGAAGGCUGCUCUAAUGUGCCAUGAGGACACAUGGCAUAAAGCUUUACCUGUCGUGCUCUUGGGCAUGCGUGCCGCUCUUAAGGAGGACAUACAAGCAUCGCCCGCCGAGCUAGUGUAUGGAGAACCCCUAUGCCUGCCUGGCGAAUUUAUUGUUCCUCCCUCACUUUCUGAUCGCACUGACAGCGAAUCAAAUUUUGCAACUGAACUGAGACGGCAUAUGUCUGUUUUAAGACCGACACCUGCCACUCGGCAUAGAAAGCAGUCUAUUUUCGUUUCCAAGGACCUAGCUACUACGUCGCACGUUUUCUUACGUGACGACGCC
RNA transcript from Manduca sexta (tobacco hornworm), 3162 nucleotides. RefSeq lists it as uncharacterized. NCBI's taxonomy places the organism in Eukaryota, Metazoa, Arthropoda, Insecta, Lepidoptera, Sphingidae. The transcript is spliced from 2 exons. The record is from RefSeq and is a predicted model, not a curated record.